GACGAACGCUGGCGGCGUGCUUAACACAUGCAAGUCGAACGGAAAGGCCUGCUUUCCCUUGUGGAUUGCGGGUACUCGAGUGGCGAACGGGUGAGUAACACGUGAGUGAUCUGCCCCCAACUUGGGUAUAAGCCUGGGAAACUGGGUCUAAUUCCCGAUAGGACUGCAGGGUGGUGCCUGUGGUGGAAAACGAUUUUCUAGUGGUUGGGGAUGAGCUCGCGGCCUAUCAGCUUGUUGGUGGGGUAAUGGCCUACCAAGGCGGCGACGGGUAGCCGGCCUGAGAGGGUGGACGGCCACAUUGGGACUGAGAUACGGCCCAGACUCCUACGGGAGGCAGCAGUGGGGAAUAUUGCACAAUGGGCGGAAGCCUGAUGCAGCGACGCCGCGUGGAGGAUGACGGCCUUCGGGUUGUAAACUCCUUUCGACCGCGAGGAAGCCACCUGGUUGGAAGGGUGGUGACGGUAGUGGUAGAAGAAGCACCGGCUAACUACGUG
Molecule: ribosomal RNA, 494 nt
Filed under: uncultured bacterium
Lineage: Bacteria
Description: partial 16S ribosomal RNA
Rfam family: Bacterial small subunit ribosomal RNA
Source: RNAcentral